AACGGCCAUACCAUGCUGAAUAUACCGGUUCUCGUUAGAUCACCGAAGUCAAGCAUCAUUGGGCGCGGUCAGUACUUGGGUGGGUGACCACCUGGGAACACU
Molecule: ribosomal RNA, 102 nt
Filed under: Caerostris extrusa
Lineage: Eukaryota; Metazoa; Arthropoda; Arachnida; Araneae; Araneidae
Source: RNAcentral